This 361-nucleotide long non-coding RNA is filed under the name Canis lupus familiaris (dog). RNAcentral describes it as "lncRNA (ENSCAFG00030008459.1)". The record is from RNAcentral. Lineage: Eukaryota; Metazoa; Chordata; Mammalia; Carnivora; Canidae.
CGCAACUCCUCUUCAGAUGAAAGGACAAAUCAGAAGAGCAAGAUAGUGGGAAGGCAGAGGGAGAGGAAGAGAGAAUUUCAAGAAGACUCCCCACUGAGCACAGAGCCCAACUUGGGGCCCUAUCUACAACCCUGAGAUCAUGACCUGAGCCAAAAUCAAAAGUCAGAUACUUAACCGACUGAGCCACCCAGACGCUCUCCUCUUAAUUCUUACAAUGACCCUAUGAUGUAUAAGAGUUUUCAGUCCAAUUAAAAAAAUAUUACCCCCAAAUCCCAUGGCUGGUAAGUCGCAGAGCUUGGAUUCAAAUCCAAGUUCAGUGCUUUCCCCCUUAUUUUAAUGGCUAUUUUGAAUAUUAUUCAAU